GGGGGGUGCAAGCGUUGUUCGGAUUUAUUGGGCGUAAAGCGCGUGUAGGCGGUUUGUUAAGUCUGUUGUGAAAGCCCUGGGCUCAACCCGGGAAGUGCACUGGAUACUGUCAGACUAGAAUACGGGAGAGGGUAGUGGAAUUCCUGGUGUAGGAGUGAAAUCCGUAGAUAUCAGGAGGAACACCCGUGGCGAAGGCGGCUACCUGGACCGAUAUUGACGCUGAGACGCGAAAGCGUGGGUAGCAAACAGGAUUAGAUACCCUGGUAGUCCACGCCGUAAACGAUGAGUACUAGGUGUUGCGGGUAUUGACCCCUGCAGUGCCGCAGCUAACGCAUUAAGUACUCCGCCUGGGAAGUACGGUCGCAAGACAA
This 371-nucleotide ribosomal RNA is filed under the name uncultured bacterium. Its description in RNAcentral is "bacterial SSU rRNA". It matches the Rfam family "Bacterial small subunit ribosomal RNA", at positions 527 to 896 of the family's 1533-position model. The record is from RNAcentral.